Long non-coding RNA from Ostrea edulis (European flat oyster), 2323 nucleotides. RefSeq lists it as uncharacterized. The record is from RefSeq and is a predicted model, not a curated record. The transcript has 2 exons. NCBI's taxonomy places the organism in Eukaryota, Metazoa, Mollusca, Bivalvia, Ostreida, Ostreidae.
GUGAAAUGGUAGAUAAAGCAGGUCGGCAGGGGACUAGAUAAGGCAUACGGUACAUAAAAACUGUAAUAUAUAGACGUGUGUAAUUGAAGUAAUCUUGGCAAAUGCACCUACUAAAAAUGUAGUCAGAACAGUUUGAAUAGACGUCUAUCAAACAUUAUGUCUGCAAAACUGUUUCACAGAUUGGAACAACAGAGAAAUAUACUGUUUAUUCGCAGAGGAUGUUCCCCUCUCGUUACACUGAAACAAAGAUAGAGGGAAAUAUAUUAAGCAGUUGUGCACAUAGUAUAAUAGAUAUAUGAAUUUCAUUUCAGAGAUAUACUUUGUAGUUUUACGUGCACAAUGUGGAUAUUUUUAGUGUUUCUACGCUUCAUUGUAUGAAAUUAUCAAAGACAAGAAUUUAAAUCAGCAUGUAAAAUUUGCACGUAAAUCAUGUAUAUAAAUGAACUAAUGUUAUGCAUGUAGUUAUGUAGAAGUGUCAGAACUGAUCCCCCACCCUUAAGAAAUAUCAAAAUAAAGCUUUGUAGUUUGCUAUGAUUUAAAGCUUUAGGUUGGAUUUGGUCAUUUUGCGCUAUGAGGUUUAAACACCUGUCUCGUUUUAAACGUGGCGUUUUAAAUUUAUACUUGUAUAAUGUUAGAAAAUUCCUUGAUUAUAUGUUGCUUGAAAUCAAAUACAAUGGGAUAUCUUGUCAGCAAGUUAAUGAAUUGUGCAAGGUAUAAACUUAUGAAUUUAAUACAAUAUUUAAUCCUUUUCAGUAAUUGAAGUUCUAGUCCCCGAUGCCCCUAAGAUUUAGGUGAGCUCACUUUUCAUCUCAGCAUCUUGUUUCUCAACAUAUGCUGUGUAUAAAAGAGAUAUUUAGAUCAAUAGUGAGCUCGUCUCUUUCUAAUGAUUUAGGGGACAUAUUAGCAUACAUGUUUUAUUGAUUGAUUGAAUAUUGUUUAACGUCCCUCUAGAGAUAUUUCACUCAUAGGGAGACGUCACCAUUUGCCGGUGAAGAGCUGCAAAAUAUAGGCCUAUGCUCGGCGCUUAUGGCCUUUGAGCAGGGAGGGAUCUUUAUCGUAUCACACCUGCUGUGACACGGGACCUGGGUUUUUUGCGGUCUCAUCCGAAGGACUGGGGCGCCCCAUUUAGUCGCCUCUCAUGACGAUCUAGGGGUACUGAGGACCUAUUCUAACCCGGAUCCCCAUGGGAUGCAUACAUGUUUUACGUAUGCUAUGUAUAAAUAUGAUCAUAAUAAACAGCACUUUAAGACGUUUCAGUUAAAAUUUGGAUUUAACAAAUAAAACACAUUAUACUAACAGCUUAAUUUUAUGUCAUUACUCUUUUAGUAGAAAUUCGAACGUGCAAAUAAGUACAGUGUAUCAGAGAAAGAUUUGGCAGAACAGGAACACCUUGUUUCAUACCAGGACCAUGAAAAGAUGGACUACAGCAGCAAGUGUGCUUUACUUCAUGAUUUUUAGAAAUCAUCAAUCACUUGAUCAGCAGAAUUUCAUCCUACUAUGUCUAUAACAAACGUCACACAAAAAUUAUACAUUGCUUCUCAUUAUAUUGAUGUAAAGAAAAUAUAAUCAUUCUGAAUUUGGAGUUCUCUCUUAUAGUACAUAGAGUUUCAAACUAAAGUAUGUGUUGUUUUCCCUUUAAAAUAGGGUAAAUAUGGCACAACGUGAUUGAAGAAUAAAUUUGAUUUUGUUUUUCAAAAUGCGUGUCUUCCUGUAAUGACAGCUGUAGUUUUUCGCGGACCAUGUCACUUUAUUGUUUCUGCGUGAAAAUGCAACGCUAAUCAACGAUGCCUUGUUUUGCUGACCUGACAGAUCCAAAGAGAUACUAACUCUUUUUAAAUAUGAAACCCCUACCGAUGCUGGAAAUCAGAUGGAUACGGUUUUCAUGGACCUAUAAACGAUAUGGUUUGAAAUAUUAACAGGCUGAUGAAGGAAUGUUUUUUCUUGAAUAAUAAUCUAAAAUUCGAAAUGGUCGAAUCUCCUAUCAGCAUGAUGUGCAAGUGACAAGGCUUUGAAGAUACGCUGGUAAACAUGGAAAGAGUUGUGACUUCGCAAUGGGUGCUUAAGCGUUUUACAGCUUGUAAAAUUAUGUUGCAUAGAGUUCGAUCACAAGCGGAGCAAUGCACGUUGAAUAGGGAUUGAUUGCCCGCCAUUCAUUAUUCAACUCAACAGUUUGUUUUAGAAGGACAGAAAACAUAACCGUCUUGGCUGAGGUGAGAAAAAUUUUGAGUACCAUGAAAUGUCAAGAAUAACCAUGUAGGUUCUAGAUAAUCUCCUUGCAAUAUAUGUAAAAUAUGAAAGUAAGAUAAAUUUAGGAUGUACUCAU